AUGUGUGACGUGGGUAUCUUUUUUUUUUUAAGUUUUAUUUAUUCAUUUGAAAGGUGGAGAGACAGAUUCUUCAUCUGCUGGCUCACUCCCCAAAUGGCUGCAACGGCCAGAGCUGGGCCAGGCCAGAGCCAGGAGCCAGGCGCUCCAUCCUGGUCUCCCACGUGGGUGGCCAGGGCCCAGGUACUUGGGCACCUGCUGCUUUCCCAGGCGCAUCAGCAGGGAGCUGGGUGGAAAGCAGAGUGUCCGGGGCUUGAACCGCACUCCACUGCGGGAUGCCGGUGCCACAAGAGGCAGCUUAACCUGCCGUGCCGCGCGCGGUGCCGGCCCCAGGGCGCUGCGUCCUACCUGCUUGGCCAAAGGCUGCCCGGGCACUCAGGGCUCCCGGGACUCGCUGUGCAUCCACCACACAACAAGCGCUCUCCCUGUCUCGCGGAGGGAGCUGAGGCUUGCCAAGGACGGGCCCUGAUCCGAGGUGCAGCCAGCGGCUCCAGGUGCUGCUGGUGCAUUUGUGCCGUGGGUUUGUUUGCUUCUGCGCUCUGUUCCUCACCCGCUGCAGCGGCCCGGGGGCCGGCGAUUCACUGCUGCUCUCGGUGUCGCCCGUUUUUAUGUUGUAAUACCGAGAUUCUCAAACGUACCGCAGGAUGGAAAGAGCAGUGCGCCGGCCCACAGCUUCCUUUUUUAAGGUUUCUUUAUUUGAAAGGCAGAAUGAGAGAUCUUCUAUCUGCUGGUUUGCUCUCUAAAUGGUUGCAACCACAGGGACUGACCCAGGCUGAAGCCAGGAGCCUGGGAUCCUCCCCGGCCUCCCACGUGGGAGCAGGACCCCAGGCACUGGGGCCACCCUCCGCUGCUUUCCCAGGCCAUUGGCAGGGAUUGGAAGUGGAGCAGCCGGGUCUCACAUUGGCGCCCAUAUGGGAUCCCGGCACUGCAGGCCGUGGCUUAACCCGCUGUGCCGCAACACAAGCUCUUACCCAUUUUCUUUGUAUUUCCAAGCAGAUAAAUUGGGGAUAUAAAUAUGUACACACGGGGCCCGCGUUUGGAUGCAGGUGAUCUCGGCAUCCUAUAUAGGUGCCAGUUUAAGCCCCUGCUGCUCCACUUCCAGUCCAGCCCCCACCCCCACCCCGCUAAUGGCCUGGGAAAGCAGCAAAGGGUGGCCCUAGUGCUGGGGCCCUGCACCCAGGCAGAAGACCCAGAAGAAGCUGCUGGCUCCUGGUUUCAGCCUGGACCAGCCCCGGCCAAUGGCCGUUUAGGGAGUGAACAAGCGGAUGGAAGAUCUCUCUCUCUCUCUCUCUCUCUCUCUCUCUCUCUCUCUCUUUUCUGCCUUUCAAAUAAAUAACAACAUAUUUUAAAGGAAAAAAAUACA
This 1360-nucleotide long non-coding RNA is filed under the name Oryctolagus cuniculus (rabbit). Its description in RNAcentral is "lncRNA (ENSOCUG00000033886.1)". Lineage: Eukaryota; Metazoa; Chordata; Mammalia; Lagomorpha; Leporidae. The record is from RNAcentral.